Molecule: long non-coding RNA, 127 nt
Organism: Alosa sapidissima (American shad)
Lineage: Eukaryota; Metazoa; Chordata; Actinopteri; Clupeiformes; Clupeidae
Exons: 3
Source: RefSeq, a predicted model, not a curated record
AUCAUGACAGUUUAAAGCGCAUGGUCACUAGUCAAAAGCUUAUUCAAAUUUAGUAGGAUGUCCAGUCCACAGUGGGAGUGUUUUCAUUAUCAAACGUCGAGCACAUGGUGCAACAUGGUGUUGCUAG